RNAcentral lists this long non-coding RNA (2194 nucleotides) under Malus domestica (apple). RNAcentral's name for it is "long non-coding RNA (MDOM_LNC016555)". The record is from RNAcentral. Lineage: Eukaryota; Viridiplantae; Streptophyta; Magnoliopsida; Rosales; Rosaceae.
GCGAAGACAAGUCCACAAAGAACUCAUCUCCUAAUGCCACACUAUAUGCUUAUCUUCAAAAGUGAUCCCUAAUGUAAUUUUUAUGCCAUAUCAUAUUUUCCUUAGAACUAAACCAAUGAUUGGAUUCUCCAUCCCGGGAUAUGCAAGCAAUCUUUUUCAGAUUCAAUCACACGCCCCCCUCAUAAACCAACUUUACUUGGAUCAUGUAUAAAUAGCAUAUGUUUGUCUUAAAUACAUGUUCUUUCUUUAUUUUUUUAUGAUGUAGGAAGUACCCUACUCGUUCAAAACAGGGCACAAACUUUGUAAACUUCGUAGUAAUGCAAGUAUAAAAACGUUCAAAGUUACACUAUCAGAGGAGCCUCCUUUAGCCCAAUCCAUCUGGAACAGUUAGCAGCUUGGGAGACUUGAAGUAAUAAGCGCGGUAAUGAUUAGCGGGCUACGGACACAUGCAUAUGGCGCCUUGACCCAGAAGUCCAAUGCACCAUCUGGCUUCUGUUAAGUUUAUGCAACCAGCAAGGUUAUGGAUUAUAACAUUCAAACCCAGGCUUUAUGACAUUCGAGGGAAUAGUUGAAAGGACGACCCGGAACUCAUUCAAAGGUCACUAUAAAAUUUGACCCCGAGUAUGACUACUUCUAUCUCAGACCUACUUACAAAGUCAAGUGAGCUGCAACACCAAGUGUUAGCAAGUCCGAAUGGGGCAUCCAGACUAGGCAAUGCCCAAGAGGAAUUUAUUCCAACAUAGCUCCGAUACACAUAAAUGCUUUGGUCAAGCCAACCAAAGUAGUCCAAUAAAAAACCCUCAGGUCCGAAGCAUAGGGUCCGACAAAAGGAUUCAAAAGUGUUUUCAACCCACAUGCUGAUGUCCAAGUUUCCAAAAAAACUUUCGCUUAAGAUUCACAGGGGACGAACAUGCAAUCUAGACCAGGGGAAACCAUAUUGGCACCAAAUUGCGAGAAUUGAAGUCCUUACCCUAAGAGUCGGGCAAGGCUCGAAGAAACAAAUCCUCAUUUGUACAACAUUAUUAGGUACACUUUGAAACUCUUACAUUAGAUGGAUGCAUUACAAUAAGUGCGGGAGCAAGGGUAUUCUCGUGGGUUUAAUAUAUAAUUCUUGGUAUGGGAACAAUGUGGUGUUUUGGGUAUCGCGGUGAGAAUACUCUAUGAAUAGUAAGUUUGGGAGGCAACAUUCCACCCGAAUCAACGUUGCCCAAAGGGAGCUAAUGAGCUCUAUCCCGGGCCCAUAAACUUAUUCGUAUGCCUAUCUGCCACUUAUUUCUCACACAAAGUUUAUUUACUUUAGAGAAAUUCAUCGGGUCAAGAUUUCUCCCAAACAGAUUAAGGAGCAAAAGAAAGAGACUUGUAUUACAACAAAAAAAUUGGGAAAUGGACAUGCCCUAUUUCUGACCAUAAGUAAGUUCAAAUCAGUCCCUUUUUGGAGCAUCUUUCUCUUUAAGGGUAGCAAAAGACUAGCCAGGGACAUCAAGUGCCAAGUCAUUCUUAAUAUCGCACUUCCCUUGCUCUGCGUCUGGCUCUACCUCUAAGUCUGACAUCUUAUCCAACAAGUGUUGGGGAGAAGGAAAGUCCAUGUGCUUAAUCUCCUCAUAAAUUUUGAAGACGCUCCAACCCCUGUGGUGAUCUCACUUGACGUAUCUAUUAAAGAAUCCGACAUCAAACUCAUCUUCAAGCAAUUUCUUAUGGUCCUUUCAGAGUGCACACACCUCAGAAGAGUAUCUGUUGGUGAGCUAUUGGAGGUCCUCGAUGCACUUGUCGUGUUUAAGGCCGACCUCUUGAUGAAGAUCCUCAACCUUUUUUAAAAGAGUUUCUUGCUCCUUAGCUUAAGCGUUGAGCUUCGAAGUUAGCACACGCUCCGACUUUCCUUUUAAGACAAUAAGAGUUGGGGUCAUUUCCACCUUGGCCUGCCUCUUGAGCCUCAAUUCCUCUCUAAUUGCCUCAAAGAUUUCUCCAUAAUCCUUGGCCUCACCUUUUCAAUAGUAGCCAGGUCAAUAUAUCGAACUAUCUCUACCUCAUGGGUAAAGUCUGAGGCUUACUGUUUGGCGUGUGUAGUCUUGAGUUCUUCAAAUUGGGUUAACAACUGCCAUUCAACCUCAAUCCUCACCACCAUAACAAGGCCUACAAUUUGCUCAAACUCUUGGAUUUGCCUUGUUUGUUGAAAUAAGGCGACCUCUAUCCACAC